Long non-coding RNA from Oreochromis aureus, 1382 nucleotides. The record is from Ensembl. NCBI's taxonomy places the organism in Eukaryota, Metazoa, Chordata, Actinopteri, Cichliformes, Cichlidae.
GCAGGAAGUGAUGUCACUCUGCGCUGCAGACAGAGUAAUGGUGACAUCAUCACAGCCUAUUUCCUCUUUAAUGGAAGUCUUGUUGGAAAUAAAAAUAAAUCAGAGUUCAUCAUCACAAACGUCCAGCAGUCUGAUGAAGGUCUCUACUCCUGUGCUACUGAUGUGUUUGGAGAAUCUCCUCCGGGCUUUCUGAGGGUCAGAGGUCAGAACAAUGACAUCACUUCCUGUUUAAAAACAUGAACUAACCUGAGCUGAAAAUAAACAGGCUGAACCAUCUUCAUCAUGUCUCCUACAGAUCCUUCUGCUCAUCUCCACACCCGCACCUCCUCUAAUCCUGUGAACUCUCCUGCUCUUGUUUCUCCUGUAACAGACUCCUCCGCUCCUCCCUCCUCCUCCUCCAUCCUCGUUCCGGUUGUAGCAAGUCUGGUUUCCGUGGUUCUUCUGGUUUUGGUGGUUUGGGGAGUUCUCUGGAGGAAACAGAAAGCAGCGCUCCACUCCUCCUCUCCUGUACAUGUGAACUGCAGUGACGUCACCAUCACACAGAGAGACAACAGGAGAGGUAAAAGUCCUGAUGAUCCAGAUGUUAUCUACUCUGAUGUGAGGACUCGCACUUCAGGCCCUGAUGAUGUUGUUUACCGUGAGGUGAUCUUCAGAAGGUAGAGGAAAGCUGGUGAGACAACAGAGCAGUCAGCUGAUCCAGGUGUUGUGCAUUGAUUGAGAGCAGGAAGCUGAGGACACACUCGGUCUGAUGGACGACCUUCAUCCUUCACUCUGCUCCUCUUCUUCUCUUUGUGUCUCCUGAAACUCAGUUAUUUGAUUGUUCAUCAUGAAGAGCUGCACAAAACAUUUUAAACUUUUUAGGAUUUUCUGUUUCUAUGCAGAUAUGAUCUGAUGGAAAAUAUAAAAAAUAUAUAUCAAUAACAUUUAAACAAAUAAAUCAUUCAGUAAAAUGAGCCUCAGUCUCAGGAUGUUUUUAAUAAUUCAGUUACACACAGACAGUCAGUGACGGCUCCUCUCCUCAGCUUUCCUGCUGCCAUCAGAUGCUUGUUGUUGGAAAUCUCACUCCUCAUGCACUGGUAUGAUCAGCACUUGGUGACAGUAGGAAGGAAGAACUCCCUUUAACCUGAAGAAUGUUUUACUUUUAACAUCUUUCUGUAUGAUUGUCAGUGUUUUAUGUUACUGCAUGAUUGCUUUUCUUUCAUCUUUCAAGUCUCAUGUAUUGAAUAAAAUCCCCGAAACCCAUAAAAUAAAAUCAUGUCUGAAAAUUUAUCAGUCUCAUAAUUAAACACAACACCUGUGAAUGCAGAUGUAGAACCUGGAGCUACCUUUAAUGGUUUUUUACAAAGAGAACAGGUGGUCCCACACUGAGUGGGAAAGGUGAA